Molecule: ribosomal RNA, 240 nt
Filed under: uncultured bacterium
Lineage: Bacteria
Description: partial 16S ribosomal RNA
Rfam family: Bacterial small subunit ribosomal RNA
Source: RNAcentral
AGCGGCGGACGGGUGAGUAACGCGUGGGUAACCUGCCCCAUACAGGGGGAUAACAGUUAGAAAUGACUGCUAAUACCGCAUAAGACCACGGUACCGCAUGGUACAGUGGUAAAAACUCCGGUGGUAUGAGAUGGACCCGCGUCUGAUUAGGUAGCUGGUGGGGUAACGGCCUACCAAGCCGACGAUCAGUAGCCGACCUGAGAGGGUGAUCGGCCACAUUGGGACUGAGACACGGCCCAG